Molecule: RNA transcript, 954 nt
Organism: Diabrotica virgifera virgifera (western corn rootworm)
Lineage: Eukaryota; Metazoa; Arthropoda; Insecta; Coleoptera; Chrysomelidae
Exons: 3
Source: RefSeq, a predicted model, not a curated record
CUGUUGUUUGCAGUAACACACAAAUCUGUUCUGUGGAUGACUUAGUGCUAACAUACCGUUUUAGUUUAUCCAUUUGUGAUUACACGAUUUACCGAUAUGUCGAAAAAAAUAAAGUUAGACCUUCGGAAAGAACAGGAUCGUGAAACUGCAGUGCAGUGGUUAGAGGAAAGUGAUGAUGAUUACCUUUCUGAAAGAGAUAGUUUAUCGGAUGAUUCAGAAUUAGAUGAUAAUUUAGAAGUAGCGGAAUAUGAGCCUGAAAUUCUGCAGAUUUAGUGCAAUUCCAUUAUCUGUGAUGGCAACAACGACGUGAUUCACGAACAAUAAUUGUCAGUCUGAACACAGGUUUACAUUGGGAAAAAAAGUGUACCAGUUUUAUAUGACGCGAAGUGUACAAAAAAGUACAGUCUGUUGAAUUUUUUGCUGUUUUUUGUCGAAUUUUUGCAUUUUGAAGUUUUUUAUAUGCCACAAAUAUUUUCACAAUUAAUUUUAUGUUGGAGUUUGAAAUUUUAUGGCAUCCCUCUGUGUCGUCCUUUUGAUAGUUCAAAUUAUUUCCGCAGCACCUGCGCCGGGUAUUGAUUUGGUGAACAAGCCAGUAAUCCGUGGAUGUAAUUUCCGUCCUCUCGGAGACAACGGAGACCGUCUAGCCGGUGCAUAUGGUGGUGACGUUGGGGGUGACAUUGGGCACGGUGUAGGUGUGGGCCACGGAUACCAAACAAGUUAUUACCAUUGCUUGUGAUAAAAACUGUUCUUAUACCUAAAAAAUACCUAAUUUUACAUGUGGGCUCUAUAAAAUUGUUGUCUGUAUUUUAUCUGUCUUUAUUGUAUAUUGUAGAAUAUUUUUGUAAUUAGAUUAUUAUUUGUUCUAUUUGUUUGUUAUUAUGGGUAAUACUCUAAGUAUAACAGUAUGUAAUAAAUUAAAAAACGUAGUGUACUAAUAAAGAAUUUUGAGUUUUA